Acipenser ruthenus (sterlet) is the source of this 924-nucleotide long non-coding RNA. RefSeq lists it as uncharacterized. The transcript has 3 exons. The record is from RefSeq and is a predicted model, not a curated record. NCBI's taxonomy places the organism in Eukaryota, Metazoa, Chordata, Actinopteri, Acipenseriformes, Acipenseridae.
GUGGAGGUAACGCUUUGAAAAUCUGCCCCAUUCACUGAUUGCUCUGCUCCCCAGGGAUGAGGAGGCUGGGCUCCCUCCCGCGGAGACACAGGCUGGGGUUCUCCCCCCAUAUCCCCCUACCGCUGCAUGAAGGAGGCCGUGCUGGGCGGUGUUCGAUGAUGUCUGGAGGGAGCUGGUGGGCUGCAUGGAAGAGCUCAUCCGCGGGCACUGGGAGCGACCCAUCUCUGACCCACAGCGAGCGAUCGGUUGUCUUCCCCGCUGAUGCCCCUGAGCCGAAACAAUCGCCUGCCCCCAAUCAGCUUGUGUGAACCAGAGCACUCGAACCCAGCGCAUACUGGCCACCACUGUGCAGCUAAAAGUGUCUAUUGUUGUUUUCUGUCAUGUUGUGCACAUACUGUUUUUAGUUUUGUUUUAGGGAUGUGUGCAUGCUCAUGAUUGUAUGUUUCUUUCUUUGAAGACUUGUGAACGGUUUGUUGAAUUGAUUUAGAAAUUUGCAGACGGCAGCAGUUGGAAGUGCAGGUGUUACAGGACAAGCUGUAUAUAAUGGUGGAGGGAGAGAACAUUCACAAUUACAGAUUGUUGUAACAAAACCCUGCUAGUAAGAAAUAUAUGACCUUAGUUAUUUGCAAGAACACAUUGGCUUGAUGCACACCAGAUCCGUAUUAUAUGUAUAGUGCACGUUAAUUUAACUAACAUGUACAUUUCUUACUCCCCAGCUAAAGCAUGUCUUGCGUUUGUGUUUAGAAGCACCGCGGAUCCUCCAGCAGAGCUCACUCGCGGUGGAUGACGACGUGGGCAGCCUGCCUAUCCAAGACAGGCUUCAGGGACCAGACCUUCACUCACGGCCCAACACCACACAUACCUUCAGGUCGGACACUCCUUAUCGACGAUCAUUUACUGUCCUCGAUAACAUAAACGAGACCC